RNAcentral lists this ribosomal RNA (471 nucleotides) under uncultured organism. RNAcentral's name for it is "partial 16S ribosomal RNA". It matches the Rfam family "Bacterial small subunit ribosomal RNA", at positions 334 to 797 of the family's 1533-position model. The record is from RNAcentral.
CACUCCUACGGGAGGCAGCAGUGGGGAAUAUUGCACAAUGGGCGCAAGCCUGAUGCAGCCAUGCCGCGUGUAUGAAGAAGGCCUUCGGGUUGUAAAGUACUUUCAGCGGGGAGGAAGGCAAUACGGUUAAUAACCGUGUUGAUUGACGUUACCCGCAGAAGAAGCACCGGCUAACUCCGUGCCAGCAGCCGCGGUAAUACGGAGGGUGCAAGCGUUAAUCGGAAUUACUGGGCGUAAAGCGCACGCAGGCGGUCUGUCAAGUCGGAUGUGAAAUCCCCGGGCUCAACCUGGGAACUGCAUUCGAAACUGGCAGGCUUGAGUCUUGUAGAGGGGGGUAGAAUUCCAGGUGUAGCGGUGAAAUGCGUAGAGAUCUGGAGGAAUACCGGUGGCGAAGGCGGCCCCCUGGACAAAGACUGACGCUCAGGUGCGAAAGCGUGGGGAGCAAACAGGAUUAGAAACCCCAGUAGUCCC